AGGUUACAAGUUACAUGUUUAGUUUUAGAAAAUUUGUGCAAUAUGUUCAUAACGAUGGCUGUGGUUGCCACAAAGUGCCUCGUUUACCUUUAAAUACUGUUAAUGUGUCGUGCAUGCAGACGGAAGGGGUGGAUCUGUGCACUAAACGGGGGGCUUUUACUCUAGUAUUCGGCAGAGUUGCCUUCUACCUGCCAGCUCAAAAGUUCGAUCUGUUUUCAUAUAGAAUAUAUAUACUAAAACCAUCCAGUCUGUAAAACAGCCUUACCCCGAUUCAGCCUCUUCAGAUACUCUUGUGCUGUGCAGCAGUGGCUCUGUGUGUAAAUGCUAUGCACUGAGGAUACACAAAUAUGACGUGUACAGGAUAAUGCCUCAUACCAAUCAGAUGUCCAUUUGUUACUGUGUUUGUUAACAACCCUUUAUCUCUUAGUGUUAUAAACUCCACUUAAAACUG
RNAcentral lists this long non-coding RNA (451 nucleotides) under Mus musculus (house mouse). RNAcentral's name for it is "long non-coding RNA chr19:32822852-32823303". Lineage: Eukaryota; Metazoa; Chordata; Mammalia; Rodentia; Muridae. The record is from RNAcentral.